AUAUAUAUAUAUACACACUGAAAAUUAUUAACUUCUACUCUGUUCACAAGCCUACAGUUAGUAACAGGCUUGGUAACUGGGAUGAGUCUGAUGCAAAGGCUGUAAAUGACACCUGAGGACUUACAGAACCUGUAGUUUGUUCACAUGGCAUUUAAAGGGUAUUUCACUAAUUAUAGGGCCCAGGAACUUUUAAAAUAUAAGACUUACUUUUUAAUUUUUCCUUUUUUUUUUCUGCCUCUCUCUCUGUAUGAGGCAAUAAUCUGUUUUAUCAGGAGGAAAUGCUGCAUCUAUGAUCUGGCACAGUGCUUACAACAGAUUGACCUGUCAGUCGUGUGGCUUGGUCGUGGGCUUUAUUCUUUAUUCUGCCUCCAGGGAGCUGGCGUACCUGCGAGGCUUCUUCUCUUUCUUCAAGGACAGCAUCCUCUGUUACAUCUUGAAAUCCCAAAUGAUAGUAGAAGCUUCUAAUAUGAUUUUUCCUUCUGAGACCUUACGGGAACGACUGCAGAAAGUAAAGUUUCUACAUUAAUUUGUAUGGAAAAUAUUAAAAAGGAUUUUUUUUUAUACAUAUAAGUCCAAAAAUAUUGAUACAAUUACUUUUUAAGUGCACAAGAUGGAGGAAAUACUGACUUAUAACACAGUGACUGACUUAAAUGUGUAAGACAUGCAAAACAUUUUCUAGAACCACUUAUCUCCAAAACAUAUCCAGUUCUGUUUUCUUCCGAAGUGUGUUAUCCUUUUAUUCCUGUACUUUGAAAAGAAGUGUUUAAAUUGGAUGUUUUUCUGUAACUUGGUUAGUUGUUGUCUUAGUAAAUUGCCUGUCCCGUAGCUCAGAGUUACUGUGUGUAGGAGACAAGACAGUGUAUCCAGUAUUCACAUGUAUUUAGUAUUCACAUUAACUUGUUUCUUUUCAGCUUCUGUUCUAAGCAUGGAAAUGGGCCCAUGGCAUUUCUGAAGUUUUGCCCUCUUUAAAGUCAUCUUCCAGUGUCUGACUGUAAGAUCAGUGUUUUUAUAGGUCAAGAGAGGCUAAAAUGCAAAAAUCCUAUCCAGGAAAGACUUUUAAAGUUGAGACACUUUAUUCUGAAGUAAAACAAUAGUAGUACUUGAUUGCAAACACAGAUCGUGUAACUGUGGGGAGUUUGCUUGUUGAGUAGAACAAGAGCAAGAAUCUGGUCUUUGCUUUUUGAGACACAAUGUCAGCAGGAUUUUCCUCUUGUGCUUUUGAUGUGUUAACUUAAAACGGCAUUUUUGAAGGACUGUCCACCUGUUUUCCUAAGCUAAUGAUGAAACAGUCUGUCCUCAUAUUGUCAAAGAAUGUCUCUGGCUGUGUAAAAACAAGAGUUAGGGAAUAUUGGAUUGAUUGUGAAAAGGCUCCAGCAACCUGUCUCCUUGAGUAUUUCCUCAUCCCUGAAAGGGCUGUGCUGCCACACAUUAAUCUGUCUUCCUGUAGCACAGGCCUGAUUUGGGUGCCAGUUUUGGCUGUACUAGACAUGCAGUAUAGAGAUUAAAGCCCAGUGUAAUUUUCUGUCUUGAAAGUCAACUGCUCUUCAACCACUGCAGGUGGGGUACAGAUCAUUCAGAGACCCAGUGUUAGGAUGUUUCUCUGUAGACUUAAUACUCUUAGUUCUCUCUUUUUUUUCUAGCUGAAGGAGAAGCUUGUGGAGAGCCACACACGUGUAGAAUCACUGGUGAAGACCCUG
RNA transcript from Neopsephotus bourkii (Bourke's parrot), 1697 nucleotides. It is a transcript of the gene named Opa interacting protein 5, with no coding region annotated. The record is from RefSeq and is a predicted model, not a curated record. The transcript is spliced from 3 exons. Lineage: Eukaryota; Metazoa; Chordata; Aves; Psittaciformes; Psittacidae.